RNAcentral lists this ribosomal RNA (253 nucleotides) under uncultured bacterium. RNAcentral's name for it is "partial 16S ribosomal RNA". It matches the Rfam family "Bacterial small subunit ribosomal RNA", at positions 524 to 776 of the family's 1533-position model. The record is from RNAcentral.
UACGUAGGGUGCAAGCGUUAAUCGGAAUUACUGGGCGUAAAGCGUGCGCAGGCGGUCUUGCAAGACAGAUGUGAAAUCCCCGGGCUCAACCUGGGAACUGCAUUUGUGACUGCAAGGCUGGAGUACGGUAGAGGGGGAUGGAAUUCCGCGUGUAGCAGUGAAAUGCGUAGAUAUGCGGAGGAACACCGAUGGCGAAGGCAACCCCCUGGACCUGUACUGACGCUCAUGCACGAAAGCGUGGGGAGCAAACAGG